GCGUACAAAAUAUAAAACAAAUAAAACUGACAUGCUCCGUGAAGCAUAUCUUAUCAAAAAAAUAAUCUGUAUAUUUUUAAGGUGCAUUUGAAAUAAACAAAUCCUUACAUAUUUCUUAGAAAAUAAUUUACUUUGUUUGGAAAAUCAUAACUUAAAUACACAAUACGAAACCAAAGUUCACAUUUAUUGAACAAUACAGCAUCAUGCAAGGUUUUUUUUUGUAAACAUGCCAAUUAAGCUCAUAAAUAACAUUAAUUUUUAAUUACUUAAAUAUGUGAUAUUUUCCUAUGAUAAUGUUCUUCCACAAAAUAGUACUCGUUAGAUACCGAGCAUUGAUUAU
Molecule: long non-coding RNA, 340 nt
Organism: Magallana angulata
Lineage: Eukaryota; Metazoa; Mollusca; Bivalvia; Ostreida; Ostreidae
Exons: 2
Source: RefSeq, a predicted model, not a curated record